Molecule: long non-coding RNA, 468 nt
Organism: Mus musculus (house mouse)
Lineage: Eukaryota; Metazoa; Chordata; Mammalia; Rodentia; Muridae
Product: predicted gene, 46958
Exons: 2
Source: RefSeq, a predicted model, not a curated record
AUAUGCUCACUUAUCAUGUUAAUAAACAUGAAACAAAACCCCCAAGACAGUUAAAACAAUCCUGCAUAACAAAAGAACUGGCAGAAGUGUCACCACUUCACCUCAGAGUGUACUACAGAGACAUAAUAAAGAGAAAGCAACAGACAAGAUGCAAAACAAGACUCGGAGCCCCUAGACUACACUGUGGCUUCAGCAGCCCUCCGUCAAGCCAAGGGUCACACAGCCACACAUGCAAAUCUGUCUGUUGUACAAUUAAGAGGAGUCAGCACAUUGAGGCUGGCUCCUUUUGAAGAGACAACUGCCCUGCUCUUCUGCUACCUGCUCAGAGGCUGAACCUGUCUUCCUGAGACAUUCCUGGCGACCGCGUGCUGACAGAAUGGCUCCAGGCACGGAGAAUGAACUGGCAGUGGGGAUGGGCCUUCCCCCUUAUAAGCACACUCUCUUAGUAAACUCAACUCGCGGGCCUGA